Molecule: ribosomal RNA, 657 nt
Filed under: uncultured bacterium
Lineage: Bacteria
Description: bacterial SSU rRNA
Rfam family: Bacterial small subunit ribosomal RNA
Source: RNAcentral
AACGAACGCUGGCAGCGUGGAUUAGGCAUGCAAGUCGAACGAGAAACCAUCUGUUCAAUCUUUCGAGAGAGAACAGGUGGUGGACAGUGGCGGAAGGGUGAGGAACACGUGGGUAAUCUGCCUCUGAGUUGGGGACAACCCUGGGAAACCGGGGCUAAUACCGAAUAUGAUCGCAUCACGCCUGUGAUGCUGAUUAAAGGUGGGGAUCUUCGGACCUGCCGCUUAGAGAGGAGCCCGCGUCCCAUCUGCUUGUUGGUGAGGUAAUGGCUCACCAAGGCUUACGGGUAGCUGGUCUGAGAGGAUGGUCAGCCACGCUGGGACUGAGACACUGCCCAGACUCCUACGGGAGGCUGCAGUCGAGGAUCAUUCGCAAUGCGCGAAAGCGUGACGAUGCGACGCUGCGUGGAGGAUGAAGGCCCUAGGGUCGUAAACUCCUGUCACGAGGGAAAAGUAACCCGCCGGUCAAUACCCGGUGGGAUCGAUGGUACCUCAAGAGGAAGCCACGGCUAACUCUGUGCCAGCAGCCGCGGUAAUACAGAGGUGGCUAGCGUUGUUCGGAUUUACUGGGCGUAAAGGGUGCGUAGGUGGUUUCGUGUGUCGGAUGUGAAAGCCCAUGGCUCAACUGUGGAACUGCAUUCGAAACUGCAGAACUAGAGU